GCUUAUGGCCACACCGCCUUGUUCACGCCUGAUCUCGUUUGAUCUCGGGAAGCUAAGAUAGGGUGGGCCAGGUUAGUACUUGAUGGGAGACUGCCUGGGAAUACCAGGUGCUGUAAGCU
Molecule: ribosomal RNA, 119 nt
Filed under: Scophthalmus maximus (turbot)
Lineage: Eukaryota; Metazoa; Chordata; Actinopteri; Pleuronectiformes; Scophthalmidae
Source: RNAcentral